This 252-nucleotide ribosomal RNA is filed under the name uncultured bacterium. RNAcentral's name for it is "partial 16S ribosomal RNA". It matches the Rfam family "Bacterial small subunit ribosomal RNA", at positions 524 to 776 of the family's 1533-position model. The record is from RNAcentral.
UACGGAGGGAGCUAGCGUUGUUCGGAAUUACUGGGCGUAAAGCGCACGUAGGCGGCUAUUCAAGUCAGUGGUGAAAUCUCCGGCUCAACCCGGAAACUGCCAUUGAUACUAUUAGUCUUGAAUUUUGUUGAGGUAGGCGGAAUAAGUCAUGUAGCGGUGAAAUGCUUAGAUAUGACUUAGAACACCAAUUGCGAAGGCAGCUUGCUAAACAAACAUUGACGCUGAGGCACGAAAGCGUGGGGAUCAAACAGG